RNAcentral lists this ribosomal RNA (263 nucleotides) under uncultured bacterium. RNAcentral's name for it is "partial 16S ribosomal RNA". It matches the Rfam family "Bacterial small subunit ribosomal RNA", at positions 524 to 786 of the family's 1533-position model. The record is from RNAcentral.
UACGUAGGGAGCGAGCGUUGUCCGGAAUGACUGGGCGUAAAGGGAGCGUAGGUGGCAGUUUAAGUUAAAUGUGAAAGCCCGGGGCUCAACUCCGGAAUGUCAUUUAAUACUGGGCUGCUGGAGUGCAGGAGAGGUAAGCGGAAUUCCUAGUGUAGCGGUUAAAUGCGUAGAUAUUAGGAGGAACACCAGAGGCGAAGGCGGCUUGCUGGCCUGCAACUGACACUGAGGCUCGAAAGCGUGGGGAUCAAACAGGAUUAGAUACC